This 312-nucleotide small RNA is filed under the name Histoplasma capsulatum. Its description in RNAcentral is "hypothetical RNA". Lineage: Eukaryota; Fungi; Ascomycota; Eurotiomycetes; Onygenales; Ajellomycetaceae. RNAcentral also lists the same sequence under 1 other name. The record is from RNAcentral.
GGUGAGCGGCAAUGCGGGGGCCUCAGACACCACUGGGCUCGGCACUACUCUCUAACACAUCACAAGGCCCAGCCCGAGCCUGCCAACAAAGUUCGAGCGCAAAAAUAGAACUACCUGGAUACAAAUUGUCCAUGGAAUGAAGUUACCGUUCGUUGGGCCGCCCUGGUUGGGACUUGGGUGGCGCUUCGCUCCCUCGUCUCAAGUCCUGCUGUUGCGAUUGGUCGCCAACCCUGUUUCUGUUACGAGGCCGUGGACACCAGCCUCCAUUAGCUGAUGGCUCAUACUCGAGAGCCUAAAAGCAGCAUUCCAGCA